GUACUCAGAAAGGCAAAACAUCUUGCUCAAGGGCUCACAACUAUUUAGGUGGUAGAGCUAAGAUAUGAACCUACCUCUGACACCAAAGUGCACUUCAACACCCUACUAUCACCCAACAAAGAAUUCUGGCCACAGAAUCACCUUGCUGCGGUAUUCCUGACUGAAUCAAGAUACGCUGGGGAAGAGGCAGCUGAAGACAGCCCGGGUUCUGACCUCGGCCCUGCUGCCUAACUGCCUGGCGACUUCAGGUUUUCUAAUCACAGAAUUACUGGAGCGUCAAGAAGCGCCUGCAUGCUUGGAAGGGCUUCCAGGCAGAUGAACACACCUCAGCACCGGGUGGCAGUUUCCCAGGGUGCAACCCGGACCGGCUCUGGGUCACACUGACAAGCCUCUCCGACUCCCCAGGCUGGGUUGGGUGCUCCUCCCUCUCAUCCCACAGCGCUAUGUCUCAUGUCUUCUGGAAAACUUGCCAAUCCCUAGUGAUAACAAGGAUUAACAAUUUCCAGAGACAGCCCGUACAUAGAGGGAAAGUUUACUGAAAAAAAUGAAGAGGGGUCAGGGCAAGGCGAGGAGCAAGAAGCAUCCCCAAGGAAACAGAGAAGACCAGUACAACUGUACCUCUUUGCCAGCUGCACCAUCCGUACCAGUCUCCUGGGGUGGGAGUGUACAGCUCAGAGACUGCCACACUGCAAGACG
This 696-nucleotide non-coding RNA is filed under the name Pongo abelii (Sumatran orangutan). Lineage: Eukaryota; Metazoa; Chordata; Mammalia; Primates; Hominidae. The record is from RNAcentral.